This 379-nucleotide ribosomal RNA is filed under the name uncultured bacterium. RNAcentral describes it as "bacterial SSU rRNA". It matches the Rfam family "Bacterial small subunit ribosomal RNA", at positions 367 to 762 of the family's 1533-position model. The record is from RNAcentral.
CGCAAUGGGCGAAAGCCUGAUGGAGCAACGCCGCGUGCAGGAUGAAUGUCUUCGGAUUGUAAACUGCUUUUAUCUGUGACGAAUAUGACGGUAGCAGAUGAAUAAGGAUCGGCUAACUCCGUGCCAGCAGCCGCGGUCAUACGGAGGAUCCAAGCGUUAUCCGGAAUUACUGGGCGUAAAGAGUUGCGUAGGUGGCAUUGUAAGCGAGUAGUGAAAGCGUUCGGCUCAACCGGAUAAACAUUACUUGAACUGCAAAGCUAGAGGAUGAGAGAGGUUAUUGGAAUUCCUAGUGUAGGAGUGAAAUCCGUAGAUAUUAGGAGGAACACCGAUGGCGUAGGCAGAUAACUGGCUCAUUCCUGACACUAAGGCACGAAAGCGU